Magnolia sinica is the source of this 2812-nucleotide long non-coding RNA. RefSeq lists it as uncharacterized. NCBI's taxonomy places the organism in Eukaryota, Viridiplantae, Streptophyta, Magnoliopsida, Magnoliales, Magnoliaceae. The transcript has 6 exons. The record is from RefSeq and is a predicted model, not a curated record.
CUCUCUCUCUCUCUCUCUCUCUCCAAAUCUCCACGCUCGUCCUGCUCUUAUUCUUCCUCUUCAACACCAAAACUCCAAUCCCCUUCUCUUCAAACCCUAACAUCUCAUCUCUACAUUCCCUUCCUUCACACUCCUGGAUCGUGCCAAUCUCGCAGGUACGUUAUUCACCAUUUCCUUCGCGCUUCUCUCCUUCGAACGUGCUCUUCAAAACGAGGAUUCUAGCUCGAUCGCCGAUCAAAAAGUUAUAGGUUUUCUAAUCUUCUAGAUUUGCAAAUCGUUGAAAUUUCAGCGUUUCUGUUCGAAUCGGUUGUGGAAAUCGAUAAUAAGAAGAGGAGACUAUUGAUCAAAAGGCAAUUGGUGGAAAGCAAAAGAGGCAGAAAAUUUCAAUUAGACAUGCUGAUCACAAGGAUCCAACGGCCAUAGCUUGCAUUAACGAUCUCAGGCCAGUCGAAUCCAGUUCUUGGAGCAUUUGGUAACUCUAAAAUAUUACGAAUAACAAUUCCAGGCUAUUAUCAUUUUGCAGGAAUAUUUUAGACCAAUGAAAUUUCAAUAUAACUGAAAUGGACAGACAACCAAAGGAAGCAGAAGAGUCCGAAGUGGAAGAUGCUUUAAAUGUGACUAAAAUGGAAGGACAACUGGAGGAAGAAGAAGAUGCUUCACAUGUGACUAGAAUGGAAGAACAACAGGAGGAAUCAUGUAAUUCUUCAGGCUAUAUGUUAGCAUAAGUGUAUUUAGUUCUUAACUUCUAACAUCUUGAUUUAUGUUGAAAUUUAAGCUUUCAAUCCAAUGAGAAUAAAGCCUGGUGGGUCAUUGCAAGACCAAAUUGUGUACAAUGUGGACAAUAUAGUUGAUGACUGCCCUCAGUUUGAAAAUAGUACAAAUGGCUUGUUUGGAUUUUCCAAUUGGUGCCUAACAAUGAAGAGAUGGGAUGAGAUUAGUGCAUUGUUUGGCAAGUCAGGGUACUUUUUUCUUAUUUCAGCUUUUGUUUCCAAUCAAAGUAUUGUAUUAGCAGAUAUUGUUUUCUUUAUUAUUAUUAUUAUUAUUAUUAUUAUUUGGUAACUUUCUAUCUUUAUGUUCCUAAUUUAUGUUGCGCAUGAAGUUAUUUGGAAAUGUUGUAUAUAUUAUUAGCAAGCAUUACUUUUCAUUUUCUUUUUUUAAAAUUGAAUUGUUUUAAGUUGUUGAAGCAUGUGGUUCCUUCUCUGUGUUUUUACUAUGGAUGCAGAGUUGCUUGUAUAUGAGAUGAAAUCAUUUUUCAACCAAACAGGACCUUGAAAGUUACUACCUACCAUACUACUUUUUCCUAAAGGAGUCAAUCAGGAUGUGGCCUUCUUGCAUAUUUUGUUUCAUGUAGCUUUGCAAUUUGGUCAGGCAUGCAGGAGCAUUUACAAGUCCAGUCCAUAGGCUAUGGACCUGAGUCUAGGUCCAGCCCUCCCUGUCCAUGAGCCAAGGAAUCAGGUCCCAGUUCUUGAGAAUGUUUACUGGAAGGACCUCAACUUUCUCGUCUUUGUCUGGAUUGCAUUCCUUGCACUAUAGAUUGCCAAGGAGAGCUCUCUACUAUGUCUCAUUUUCAUGUUAGCUUAUACAAAGGUAGAAGAGUGAUUGCUGCUUUUGAAUGUGUUGACACAUUGCUGGAUAGCGGCCUUGAUCAAGUGAACCCCUCAUCUUUCAUUGUUCCGUACCUUAAAUCCAGUUUGGAUGGUGAGUACUCAAAUAUGCUUCUGUGUAAUUGUUUAAGGCAUUGAAAUGAAAUCUUUUAUACUUCCACCUCUCAAAAAAAAAAAAAAAACCUUUUAUUCUUCCCAUGAUUGGCAUGGGAGUUGCUUGUCUACUAUUCCCAUGUUUAAUUAACACGAUGCUAUUGUUUGUCAGAUGUUGUCUCAAAGCUUAUCAUCCUGAAUGUGUGGGGCAAGGAUUCCACAUUCUUGGAGACGGGCAAUCGAUGGACUUGUAGUACGCCUCUUCCUACUCCAUAUGCUUGCUUUUUUUCCCUCCCUUUUUUUAGGGUUGUCUUGCCUUCUUCUUCUUCUUCUUCUUCUUUUGCUGUUGUUUUAUGUGAGAUUUUUCAGUGAUUCACUUGUCAAGUUGUUGAGUGGGUUGACUUUUUUGUCGAAUAUUUUGAAACCAAUAAGUGUGGAACAAUAUAGUACUAGAAAAUUUCCAUGCCUGUAAGAUGCACUUUUAGUUGUCCUUGUGGAAUAAAUUUUGCUCAUCUUUGGGGGUUGAAUUAUUCUCACCCAAUAUUGAAGAGUUCCAGGUCAUUUGCGGUGGGGAUAUACAGUUGGUAGAUCAAGUUACAGUCUAUGAACUCUCUAGAUUGUUUGCUCAAAUUUGCCACCCUCAAAUUGAUUCUUCUCAAUGAAGUUGCAGUUUAUGAACCCUCCAGAUUCUGAAGAACUGUGGAAAUUAGAAGUGCACAAGUUAGCGACAUGCAACUACCAUCUUGUGAUUAAAAAUUCCUUUAUACAUAUGCAAUGAUCUUUUGAAUGGAGAAAAACAUGGUCACCCAAAAGGUUAAAAGAUAUCUAGCAUUGAUUUCUCUUUACAAAGUAAGCUGGUAGUGGAUCGCUACAUUUCAACGAUGACAACUUUCUUGUCUAAUCAAUCUACUUCUCAUGCCUUCCAAUUGAACAAAUUUGUGGAUGUUCCAGAACUAGUUCAUACCAUCCCAUUGUCAUCAUUUCUUCUUUCACUUCAUUUGUUUAAUUGAUUGAGUUUUUCUGGAGGAUUAUUGAAGUUAUGUUUCUUUUUUUCCUUCCUUUUUCAUCUUUGCUAUUUUCUUAUAAAUCCAGUGGUGUGGAUUAAGGGUAUUUUU